AACACAACCUCACCUGACAGCCCCUCUCAUGAACUGAAAACUUUGUAAUGAAACACAAAUUAGAAUCUCACAGAAAUAACACUUUCAAAAAGGAACACAUUAACAAAAUGGGCUGCAACACGAUCCCAGUAAAACAUAAACACAAGAUCCACCAAUUCGCCUUCACAUAAAAACCUCGAAAUGAAGCGACUGAAGAUAUGAAGUGGAUUUAACCCGCAGUGCAGGACGUCCUCUUUAAUGGAGGCCCAAGCCAUGCGUGGGGUGGUGAAGCUGGCGGCCCAGUCCCCUGUAGAGGACACAACAAUAGCUCCUCCGCAUCCCUUCACUCUCUCUCCCAUGUACUGAAGUGAGGCUUCAGCGGCGGCUGUGGCUGAUUUCCCUGCAUUUCACAAAGGAAUCACUCAAGUAUGUGAUACUGUCAGCAAAGGUAGCAGUAAGUUUAUCUGGGUGCCAUGUAUUUUUACUGUGCUUCCUCAGAAGCAUUUCCGGUCAGUGUUGCGCAAUGUGAAUUGCAUAAAUAAGAUGAUAUGGAUUCUAAAAUCUUUAAGGUUAAAUAAGGCUGCAAAACAUCUAUUCAUAUGACAAGGCAACACAUUUUCACCCCUUAAUACGUUUAUUUAGCAAGGAUGCAUUAAAUUGCUCAAAAGUGAUAGAAUUAUUGUCAUUUUAUUACCAAUAAUCCAGUUUCCACAAAAAUAUUAAAAAGCACAACACUGGUAAUAAGAAAUGUUUCGUAAAGAUGCUCAAAAUUCAGCUUUGCUCUCACAACUCAUCUUUUAAAUCAUUUCAACAUAGAAAACAGGUAGGCCUAUUUAAAAUUGUAAUAAUAUUUGAAGACAUCACUGUUUUAAUCUAUUUUUGAUUGGUGAGCAUCAAAAACAAAACAACCAGCCCCAAACUUUUAAAAAGUAGUGUACAUAGGUUCAUUCAGCUUCACAACUUUUUCUAUUGCGCUUGUAUUUUUCUAGUAUUUUCCAGCACAACAAAAAAAAAAAAGCAUUUGAUCUCUGUGUGCCGUAUGAUGAAAUGCUGCACCGACAGUGUAUGUGUCCUUAGUGACCCUUUCCAGGUCACACAGUGAACAAUAUAUGUUGCUCUCAUAGUUUUCUCAUUCCAUCAGUCUUGGUAUUGCAGUCUUAUUAGCCCAACAUAGAAAACAACCAGACAAACACUGCAACAAUAUUACAUUUUUCCACUUUUUAAUAGCAAUAGAUUUGCAUUGUGAGUUAGCUUUUUUUGUAUGUGGACAUACUGUGUUUAGAUGUGAUGUCUAUUUUUAAUUCUCUUUCAUCCAUCUCUUUGUGUCCUGUUUCUUGUUCUUCUGAGCAGUGAAUUCAUUUUCUGGCUUUAACUGGGGACACAUGGGCCUCUAGCCAACUAUUAAAGCUUUUUAUGCUCAU
Long non-coding RNA from Carassius gibelio (silver crucian carp), 1400 nucleotides. RefSeq lists it as uncharacterized. The record is from RefSeq and is a predicted model, not a curated record. The transcript has 3 exons. NCBI's taxonomy places the organism in Eukaryota, Metazoa, Chordata, Actinopteri, Cypriniformes, Cyprinidae.